UGUGGAUAUACACUCAGAGUAACAUCACAAAUAUAAUAUUCACCUGAGUACACAACACCAACACAGAAAAAAAAGAUAGGUUUACUAAAGCAAAUUCCGCGCUAAAAACGUCAAUAAAUAUCGGGCUGUUGUGAUUUUGCUGUUACUCGUAAUGAGCGUCAAGAUGGCGCCAUAUUGGGGUAAAGGUGGUAUAUUGUGAUUGUCAUAUCUUCUUAACGAGUUCGGUGACCCCGACUUGAUUUUACUUUAAGUAUAUCAUAAUUUUCCAUAAACUCCAUGCCUGGGAAAUUUCAGCACAUUCUCAUUUCGGGAACAAUUACUGCGGAAUUACUUUAAUUGAAGAAACUAUAACUUUGAGAUUUAGAAUCAAAGCAUCUUGUAUAUAUUACAUUUUCCAUGAUUUGUUCGGAUUAAUUAAUUAAAAAAAAAUAGCUUUAAAAUCUGGUUCAAUUUGCGACAAGAAAAAUUAAAAAAAAAAUACAAAAAUGACCGACAGAUUCGGAAUCCGACCCCAAGAGUCAGCACUUGUUUCCAUCUACCAAACUGACGUGAAAUCAUUUUCGGAAGAUAGAAGAGGUGUUAAAUGGCUAUUUAUGUAUGCAACUAACCCAAACCCCACCCGUACUCUAGCCCCUAACCGCAACCCUAAGUCCUAACCAAAAUAAAAAAAAAUUCAAAAAGAAACAACUUCUAAUAGAAAUUGAUCAAAUGAAGCAACGUCAGUUUGAUAGAUGGAAACAAGUGAAAAGCCCAAGACUACCCGUUUGCAGGAAAAAAUAGUGCGGACAGACAAAAAGACUGGGGCGAGAGUAAGUAGAUUUAAAAUCAUCAUCGUUUAUUCGGAGUUUUUAAUUUGUUCUUGGUAUUUCAAAACAUACUCGCGUACGAAAAGCAUAUACUAGUGAUUAGAAGAUAAAUAAAGUGAGGGAAAAAAAGAUUUUACAUAAUAAAAAGCGACGAAACAAAAACGUGUCAGGAG
This is a non-coding RNA of Paramuricea clavata, 979 nucleotides long. Lineage: Eukaryota; Metazoa; Cnidaria; Anthozoa; Malacalcyonacea; Plexauridae. The record is from the annotation of a GenBank genome assembly.